AGUUAUACCGUGAAACUGCGAAUGGCUCAUUAAAUCAGUUAUUGUUUAUUUGAUAGUACCUUACUACUUGGAUAACCGUGGUAAUUCUAGAGCUAAUACAUGCUAAAAGCCCCGACUUCGGAAGGGGUGUAUUUAUUAGAUAAAAAACCAAUGCCCUUCGGGGCUCCUUGGUGAUUCAUAAUAACUUAACGAAUCGCAUGGCCUUGUGCCGGCGAUGGUUCAUUCAAAUUUCUGCCCUAUCAACUUUCGAUGGUAGUGUAUUGGACUACCAUGGUUUCAACGGGUAACGGGGAAUUAGGGUUCUAUUCCGGAGAGGGAGCCUGAGAAACGGCUACCACAUCCAAGGAAGGCAGCAGGCGCGCAAAUUACCCAAUCCCGACACGGGGAGGUAGUGACAAUAAAUACUGAUACAGGGCUCUUUUGGGUCUUGUAAUUGGAAUGAGUACAAUUUAAAUCCCUUAACGAGGAACAAUUGGAGGGCAAGUCUGGUGCCAGCAGCCGCGGUAAUUCCAGCUCCAAUAGCGUAUAUUAAAGUUGUUGCAGUUAAAAAGCUCGUAGUUGAACCUUGGGCCUGGCUGGCCGGUCCGCCUCGCCGCGUGCACUGGUCCGGCCGGGUCUUUCCUCCUGGGGAGCCGCAUGCCCUUCACUGGGUGUGUCGGGGAACCAGGACUUUUACUUUGAAAAAAUUAGAGUGUUCAAAGCAGGCCUAUGCUCGAAUACAUUAGCAUGGAAUAAUAGAAUAGGACGUGUGGUUCUAUUUUGUUGGUUUCUAGGACCGCCGUAAUGAUUAAUAGGGAUAGUCGGGGGCAUCAGUAUUCAAUUGUCAGAGGUGAAAUUCUUGGAUUUAUUGAAGACUAACUACUGCGAAAGCAUUUGCCAAGGAUGUUUUCAUUAAUCAAGAACGAAAGUUAGGGGAUCGAAGACGAUCAGAUACCGUCGUAGUCUUAACCAUAAACUAUGCCGACUAGGGAUCGGGCGAUGUUAUUUUUUUGACUCGCUCGGCACCUUACGAGAA
Molecule: ribosomal RNA, 1015 nt
Filed under: Podosphaera aphanis
Lineage: Eukaryota; Fungi; Ascomycota; Leotiomycetes; Helotiales; Erysiphaceae
Description: SSU rRNA
Rfam family: Eukaryotic small subunit ribosomal RNA
Source: RNAcentral